This 526-nucleotide ribosomal RNA is filed under the name Pycnocoris ursinus. RNAcentral describes it as "partial 16S ribosomal RNA". It matches the Rfam family "Bacterial large subunit ribosomal RNA", at positions 1810 to 2610 of the family's 2925-position model. Lineage: Eukaryota; Metazoa; Arthropoda; Insecta; Hemiptera; Miridae. The record is from RNAcentral.
AAAACAUGGUCUUUUGUUUAUAUAAAAGAUUUAACCUGCCCUAUGAUUAUAUUUAAAUGGCUGCAGUAUUUUGACUGUACAAAGGUAGCAUAAUCAUUUGUCUUUUAAUUGAGGACUAGUAUGAAUGGUUGGAUGAAAAAUAUUCUUUCUUUAUUUUAUAAAAAAAAAUUGAUUUUUUAGUUAAAAAGCUAAAAUAUAUUUAAAGGACGAGAAGACCCUAUAGAACUUUACUUUUAAUUUAUAUAAACUUUAUAUAUUUUAAAAUUAUAUAUAGAUUUUAUUAGUUUUGUUGGGGUGAUAGAAAAAAUUAUAUAACUUUUUCUUAUAUUUACAUAUAUCUAUGUUUUUUUGAUCUUUUAUUAAGGAUAAUAAGAUUAAGUUACCUUAGGGAUAACAGCGUUAUUUUUUUGGAGAGUUCAUAUUGAUGAAAAAGUUUGCGACCUCGAUGUUGGAUUAAAAUAAGUUACAGGAGUAUAAUAUUGUAUACUAGGUCUGUUCGACCUUUAAAUUUUUACAUGAUCUGAGU